This 2041-nucleotide long non-coding RNA is filed under the name Marmota monax (woodchuck). The record is from RNAcentral. Lineage: Eukaryota; Metazoa; Chordata; Mammalia; Rodentia; Sciuridae.
AUUACAGUUUCAAAUUCUUAUUUUAAAACAUCCAAAGCUGUAAGUUUGAGAAAUAAUUAAAACCUCAAAACACAUUGUUUUUCUUUUAAAAUUGAAAUAAUGCAGCCCCCAGCUGAGAUUUGGAGGUCUUCAUCAACACAGGAACAAAACGAACAUGUAAUCUACAGCCAUCAGUAAGAGAACUUCCUUGGAUUAUUUUUAUAGUUCUUACUUCUACUAAUGGUGAUGGUUAGUUGCCAAAGAAAAGCAUUCUUUUGGUGGUGAGCCCUGCAAAAUAAUUUCCUUUAGGGCAAUGUACUGUCAGUCCCUGACAAACCUCCAUUAAUAUACAGAGCCAUUCCAACUUGACUUUGAGGCUGAAUAAUUGGAAUGUGAAUAGUGGUUCUCUCUGAGCCAAUAAAAACUCAUGAAGAGGAAUGAGGAUGUAGCUCAGGGAUAGAGUGUCUAGGGGUUUAAGGCCUAGGAUUAUAAAACAAAGAAACCAACAAACACUUCCUCCAGAUGCAAAGGAAGAAAAGAAGAAGGCAAACACUAGACAAUAUAUUCUAGGACUUACCCACUUGAAUCAAAGUGUGAAAUAUGAUAUAUCAAGAACCAUGUAAUGUUUUGAACAACCAACAAUAAAAAAAUUAAUUAAAAAAAAAUAUAUAUAUAUAUAUUCUAGGACUUAACAUUGACCUCAAAGCAUAAAAUAGUGUGAGACCUAAGCUGAAACUGAACUAAAUACCAUGAAAAGUGAACUUGACAUUGUGUGUCUUAAUGAGUCACCUGUAGAAAUAAAAUGUAUCCCCUACCAGGGCCAACUCUCAGUCUUCUGCAAAGGGCUCAGAGGAGCUCUCUGUCCUUUCUUAAUUUGUAGCCCCUGCAACGGGUUUCUAGCAGAUUCCAGAAGGAGUUCAGGAGGGAAGAGAAAUGCUCUGGCAGGAUGGGCUUUGCACCCAUGGAACUGGGGUGGACAGCAUUGUUUGCUCUCCAGAGGAGAUGGAACGUCUGGCCUACAUCACUUCCACCCCUCCCUGAGACAAUGAUUGCAGAACAUUGCAGAAUAGUCACAGAUGGUGAAGAACCCUAAGGGCUCCUGGAGAGUGACUGUGGACUAUGGUGAACUGAGUAAAAUGGAGCCUUCUCUGCACACAGCAGUUCCCAGGAUGCAUGAAUUGGAUAGGUAUAGCCCAGACAUCUCCCCCCAGCAAAAUGUGACGUAUAUUUGGGACAAAGGAGUGCUUUGUGCACUAGUCCUUAUCCCAUGAGCUCCAAAAUAAUGUAGGGCCAGUGCUGUAUGCACCUGAAGAAGAUUCUUCUGAUGAAUGUGAGCUGACAGCCGUUGUCCUUCAAAGAAACAGCAGCCCUCAUGAGCGACAGUACACUGACUGAUCCAGCAGAGGCCCUUAGGCCAUUGACUGCCAUCGCUCCACAGCCCUCCAUAAAUGCCUUGUGGUGUGAUGCUGGGAUGGGGUAGAGCAGUCAAAGUCUAUUCCAUGCCAAAGUGCUAGUGAUACAGGGGUCCUGGGCACCCCAGGACACAAAAACAAACAAAAACACUCAAAGACUAAUCAACUCUGUUGGCAGGGCAAAAAUUUUACUUGAUGCACAGAUGUUUAAAAUAAGUGUUCAUUGCUGUUAAUGUUUUUUUGGCAGGAAAAAGAUGACUUUAAAGGUUAACUAGGUUUGUUUGAUAUCUGGGUUUUCAUGAGUAACAUAAAAUGAGUAUUAAAAAUAGAGCUCUCUGGAAAAUUUUCUGGAACUCCCAAUAAAACUGAAGGGCAAGAGGAGUGCACUAUCCUUGUUUGUGGGAGGAGCCACUGCCUCUUUUUCUCCAUUUUCCUACUUUUUUUUAUUUGGUAGCAGGUAUUGAACCCAGGGGUGCUACUGACUGCAUAACAACCUCAGCCUGUCUUAUAUUUUAUUUUGAGACACGAGUCUCACUGAGUUGCUUAGGGCUUUGCUAAGUUGUUGAGGCUGGCCUUGAAUUUGAAAUCCUUCUGCCUAGGCCUCUCAAGCUGCUGGAUUACAGGUAUGUGCCACUCUAUUUGCCUUUUCU